This 300-nucleotide ribosomal RNA is filed under the name uncultured Ignicoccus sp. RNAcentral describes it as "bacterial SSU rRNA". It matches the Rfam family "Bacterial small subunit ribosomal RNA", at positions 496 to 795 of the family's 1533-position model. Lineage: Archaea; Thermoproteati; Thermoproteota; Thermoprotei; Desulfurococcales; Desulfurococcaceae. The record is from RNAcentral.
GCAGACGACGGGGUAGGAGGGGCGGUAUGACGUAGGGUGCUAGGGGUGGCUGGAAGUACGUGACGUAAAGGAGUCGUAGGCGUGGGGUCACGUGUUCCGGGAAAACGCUGAGCUGAACGCCGAGCGUGCGGGCGAUACGUGCAGACUUGAGUACUACAGGGGAGACUGGAAUUCCUGGUGUAGCGGUGAAAUGCGCAGAUAUCAGGAGGAACACCGGUGGCGAAGGCGGGUCUCUGGGUAGUAACUGACGCUGAGGAGCGAAAGCAUGGGGAGCAAACAGGAUUAGAUACCCCUGUAGUC